CCAAGAUACCCGUAACAAUUGAAGCUAUAAAGGUGCCGAGGAUAGCAAAUGUGACAAUUGCUCCAAAAUUCGAGAAAAAUGGUUUCUGCAAAUGAAUAACACCAUUAACACCAAGUCAAAAGGCUUGUCCUAGAGAACAGAAGACUUGUUUGGGUAGAGGCAAAAAAGAGUUUCUGAGAGCUUCUCUACUGGAAAUAUAGAGGGAUUCUUUUCUCGGUAAACAAAUUCUCAAAAGACGUUCUAGCUUCGUAUCCAAACAAGCUAAAACACAUGUCUAGACAAAAGAGCACAGUGGAGGAACUCACAG
RNAcentral lists this long non-coding RNA (307 nucleotides) under Phaseolus vulgaris (common bean). RNAcentral describes it as "long non-coding RNA (PVUL_LNC004647)". The record is from RNAcentral. Lineage: Eukaryota; Viridiplantae; Streptophyta; Magnoliopsida; Fabales; Fabaceae.